RNAcentral lists this ribosomal RNA (451 nucleotides) under uncultured bacterium. Its description in RNAcentral is "partial 16S ribosomal RNA". It matches the Rfam family "Bacterial small subunit ribosomal RNA", at positions 354 to 796 of the family's 1533-position model. The record is from RNAcentral.
GUGGGGAAUAUUGGACAAUGGGGGGAACCCUGAUCCAGCCAUGCCGCGUGUGUGAAGAAGGCCUUUUGGUUGUAAAGCACUUUAAGCGAGGAGGAGGCUCUUCUAGUUAAUACCUAGGAUGAGUGGACGUUACUCGCAGAAUAAGCACCGGCUAACUCUGUGCCAGCAGCCGCGGUAAUACAGAGGGUGCGAGCGUUAAUCGGAUUUACUGGGCGUAAAGCGUACGUAGGCGGCUUUUUAAGUCGGAUGUGAAAUCCCUGAGCUUAACUUAGGAAUUGCAUUCGAUACUGGGAAGCUAGAGUAUGGGAGAGGAUGGUAGAAUUCCAGGUGUAGCGGUGAAAUGCGUAGAGAUCUGGAGGAAUACCGAUGGCGAAGGCAGCCAUCUGGCCUAAUACUGACGCUGAGGUACGAAAGCAUGGGGAGCAAACAGGAUUAGAUACCCGGGUAGUCC